Molecule: ribosomal RNA, 465 nt
Filed under: uncultured beta proteobacterium
Lineage: Bacteria; Pseudomonadati; Pseudomonadota; Betaproteobacteria
Description: bacterial SSU rRNA
Rfam family: Bacterial small subunit ribosomal RNA
Source: RNAcentral
CCUACGGGUGGCUGCAGUGGGGAAUUUUGGACAAUGGGGGCAACCCUGAUCCAGCCAUGCCGCGUGCGGGAAGAAGGCCUUCGGGUUGUAAACCGCUUUCGGACGGAAAGAAAUCGCAUGGACUAAUACUCUGUGUGGAUGACGGUACCGUAAGAAGAAGCACCGGCUAACUACGUGCCAGCAGCCGCGGUAAUACGUAGGGUGCGAGCGUUAAUCGGAAUUACUGGGCGUAAAGCGUGCGCAGGCGGUUUCUUAAGCCAGACGUGAAAUCCCCGGGCUUAACCUGGGAACUGCGUUUGGAACUGGGAGACUAGAGUGUGUCAGAGGGAGGUGGAAUUCCGCGUGUAGCAGUGAAAUGCGUAGAUAUGCGGAGGAACACCGAUGGCGAAGGCAGCCUCCUGGGAUAACACUGACGCUCAUGCACGAAAGCGUGGGGAGCAAACAGGAUUAGAUACCCCUGUAGUC